This 406-nucleotide ribosomal RNA is filed under the name uncultured bacterium. Its description in RNAcentral is "partial 16S ribosomal RNA". It matches the Rfam family "Bacterial small subunit ribosomal RNA", at positions 30 to 526 of the family's 1533-position model. The record is from RNAcentral.
AUUGAACGCUGGCGGCAGGCCUAACACAUGCAAGUCGAACGAGUGGCGGACGGGUGAGUAAUGUCUGGGAAACUGCCCGAUGGAGGGGGAUAACUCCUGGAAACGGUAGCUAAUACCGCAUACCAUCGGAUGUGCCCCGAUGGGAUGAGCAAGUAGGUGGGGUAAAUGCUCACCUAGGCGACGAUCCCUAGCUGGUCUUAGAGGAUGACCCGCGACACGGGAACUGAGACACGGUGCAGACUCCGACGGGAGGCAUCAGUGGGGAAUAUGGCACAAUGGGCGCAAGUCUGAUGCAGCCAUGCCGCGUGUAUGAAGAAGGCCUUCGGGUUGUAAAGUACUUUCAGCGGGGAGGCGUUACCCGCAGAAGAAGCACCGGCUAACUCCGUGCCAGCAGCCGCGGUAAUUC